GCCUGGAACAUGGUGGCAGCGAGGGCGGUGCCGUUGGUGAUCUGGUGGAGCUUCUUGGCGCCGAAGUAGUCGAGGAGGAUGUGGAGGGAGAGGAUGUUUUUGAUGGUGUAGAUGGAGGGCUUCUUGGCGAGGAGGGCUGACAUGGCGGAGUUGUCUACGGCGCAGACGGUGAUGGUGGUGUGCUGGUUGAUUUCGGCGGCCAGGUGGGUCAGGGUAAGGUAGUGGUUGAAGGUCGAGAACUCCGGGUGCUUGGCCAGGAUGCGCGUGAUGUUGUGGGCUUGGGCGAGGGUGGUGAGGAGGGUUAGGGUUA
Molecule: long non-coding RNA, 310 nt
Filed under: Prunus persica (peach)
Lineage: Eukaryota; Viridiplantae; Streptophyta; Magnoliopsida; Rosales; Rosaceae
Description: long non-coding RNA (PPER_LNC004395)
Source: RNAcentral